UAGGGAAUCUUCGGCAAUGGGGGGAACCCUGACCGAGCAACGCCGCGUGAGUGAAGAAGGUUUUCGGAUCGUAAAGCUCUGUUGUUAAGGAAGAACGAGUGUGAGAAUGGAAAGUUCAUACUGUGACGGUACUUAACCAGAAAGGGACGGCUAACUACGUGCCAGCAGCCGCGGUAAUACGUAGGUCCCGAGCGUUGUCCGGAUUUAUUGGGCGUAAAGCGAGCGCAGGCGGUUAGAUAAGUCUGAAGUUAAAGGCAGUGGCUCAACCAUUGUAGGCUUUGGAAACUGUUUAACUUGAGUGCAGAAGGGGAGAGUGGAAUUCCAUGUGUAGCGGUGAAAUGCGCAGAUAUUAGGAGGAAUACCGGUGGCGAAGGCGACUUUCUGGCCAUAAUCUGACGCUGAGGUACGAAAGCGUGGGUAGCAAACAGG
Molecule: ribosomal RNA, 429 nt
Filed under: Bacteroidota bacterium
Lineage: Bacteria; Pseudomonadati; Bacteroidota
Description: Bacteroidetes bacterium partial 16S ribosomal RNA
Rfam family: Bacterial small subunit ribosomal RNA
Source: RNAcentral